CCCUUCCCUUCCCUCCCUUCUGUUCCUUCCCUCCCUUCUCCUGCCUUCCCCUUCCCCAGAGGGCAAUACCCACUAACCUUCAGCCUGUGUUUGUGCAGGGAUGGACAAUUGAACACUCACUGGACAAAUUGGCCCAGGGUGGGGACCCCAGUUCAUGAGGGGCUGAACUUCCUGUCUUCCUCAGAAGGAAAUUUGGGGGUUGAAAUCAUCUGAAGGGUUGCUUCAAGUCUCCCACACUCAGCUGAUGUCAGCGAAUAUUGAUGACCCCUCCCAAAAGCCCCACGUGUAUCAGACCCAGGCCUGUGACAAUGACAGUCUCACCCUAACCCCCAUCUCCUUUGCAUCUGUGAUGUAAAGACCUACAGACAGACUUGUGGAAGUGUUGCACAAGCUUACUUAUUGGUGUCCCCUGCUACACUACAAGCCCCCUGGAAGGUAAGGACUGUGUCCUGUUCAUCUCUCCCUCCCUAGGUACUCUUACAGAGCCUGGCAUAUUA
RNAcentral lists this long non-coding RNA (497 nucleotides) under Chinchilla lanigera (long-tailed chinchilla). RNAcentral's name for it is "lncRNA (ENSCLAG00000025161.1)". The record is from RNAcentral. Lineage: Eukaryota; Metazoa; Chordata; Mammalia; Rodentia; Chinchillidae.